Molecule: ribosomal RNA, 253 nt
Filed under: uncultured bacterium
Lineage: Bacteria
Description: partial 16S ribosomal RNA
Rfam family: Bacterial small subunit ribosomal RNA
Source: RNAcentral
UACGGGGGGGGCAAGCGUUGUUCGGAAUUACUGGGCGUAAAGGGCUCGUAGGCGGCCAACUAAGUCGGACGUGAAAUCCCCAGGCUCAACCUGGGAACUGCGUCUGAUACUGGCGGGCUUGAAUCCGGGAGAGGGAUGCGGAAUUCCAGGUGUAGCGGUGAAAUGCGUAGAUAUCUGGAGGAACACCGGUGGCGAAGGCGGCAUCCUGGACCGGCAUUGACGCUGAGGCGCGAAAGCUAGGGGAGCAAACGGG